RNAcentral lists this ribosomal RNA (467 nucleotides) under uncultured bacterium. RNAcentral's name for it is "partial 16S ribosomal RNA". It matches the Rfam family "Bacterial small subunit ribosomal RNA", at positions 29 to 507 of the family's 1533-position model. The record is from RNAcentral.
ACGAACGCUGGCGGCGUGCUUAACACAUGCAAGUCGAACGGAAAGGCCCUGCUUUUGUGGGGUGCUCGCGUGGCGAACGGGUGAGUAACACGUGAGUAACCUGCCCUUGACUUUGGGAUAACUUCAGGAAACUGGGGCUAAUACCGGAUAGGAGCCCCUGCUGCCUGGUGGGGGUUGGAAAGUUUCGGCGGUUGGGGAUGGACUCGCGGCUUAUCAGCUUGUUGGUGGGGUAGUGGCUUACCAAGGCUUUGACGGGUAGCCGGCCUGAGAGGGUGACCGGCCACAUUGGGACUGAGAUACGGCCCAGACUCCUACGGGAGGCAGCAGUGGGGAAUAUUGCACAAUGGGCGGAAGCCUGAUGCAGCAACGCCGCGUGCGGGAUGACGGCCUUCGGGUUGUAAACCGCUUUCGCCUGUGACGAAGCGUGAGUGACGGUAAUGGGUAAAGAAGCACCGGCUAACUACGUG